GAGCGAACAGAUAAGGAGCUUGCUCCUUUGACGUUAGCGGCGGACGGGUGAGUAACACGUGGGUAACCUACCUAUAAGACUGGGAUAACUUCGGGAAACCGGAGCUAAUACCGGAUAACAUUUGGAACCGCAUGGUUCUAAAGUGAAAGAUGGUUUUGCUAUCACUUAUAGAUGGACCCGCGCCGUAUUAGCUAGUUGGUAAGGUAACGGCUUACCAAGGCGACGAUACGUAGCCGACCUGAGAGGGUGAUCGGCCACACUGGAACUGAGACACGGUCCAGACUCCUACGGGAGGCAGCAGUAGGGAAUCUUCCGCAAUGGGCGAAAGCCUGACGGAGCAACGCCGCGUGAGUGAUGAAGGGUUUCGGCUCGUAAAACUCUGUUAUUAGGGAAGAACAAAUGUGUAAGUAACUGUGCACAUCUUGACGGUACCUAAUCAGAAAGCCACGGCUAACUACGUGCCAGCAGCCGCGGUAAUACGUAGGUGGCAAGCGUUAUCCGGAAUUAUUGGGCGUAAAGCGCGCGUAGGCGGUUUCUUAAGUCUGAUGUGAAAGCCCACGGCUCAACCGUGGAGGGUCAUUGGAAACUGGGAAACUUGAGUGCAGAAGAGGAAAGUGGAAUUCCAUGUGUAGCGGUGAAAUGCGCAGAGAUAUGGAGGAACACCAGUGGCGAAGGCGACUUUCUGGUCUGUAACUGACGCUGAUGUGCGAAAGCGUGGGGAUCAAACAGGAUUAGAUACCCUGGUAGUCCACGCCGUAAACGAUGAGUGCUAAGUGUUAGGGGGUUUCCGCCCCUUAGUGCUGCAGCUAACGCAUUAAGCACUCCGCCUGGGGAGUACGACCGCAAGGUUGAAACUCAAAGGAAUUGACGGGGACCCGCACAAGCGGUGGAGCAUGUGGUUUAAUUCGAAGCAACGCGAAGAACCUUACCAAAUCUUGACAUCCUUUGAAAACUCUAGAGAUAGAGCCUUCCCCUUCGGGGGACAAAGUGACAGGUGGUGCAUGGUUGUCGUCAGCUCGUGUCGUGAGAUGUUGGGUUAAGUCCCGCAACGAGCGCAACCCUUAAGCUUAGUUGCCAUCAUUAAGUUGGGCACUCUAGGUUGACUGCCGGUGACAAACCGGAGGAAGGUGGGGAUGACGUCAAAUCAUCAUGCCCCUUAUGAUUUGGGCUACACACGUGCUACAAUGGACAAUACAAAGGGCAGCUAAACCGCGAGGUCAUGCAAAUCCCAUAAAGUUGUUCUCAGUUCGGAUUGUAGUCUGCAACUCGACUACAUGAAGCUGGAAUCGCUAGUAAUCGUAGAUCAGCAUGCUACGGUGAAUACGUUCCCGGGUCUUGUACACACCGCCCGUCACACCACGAGAGUUUGUAACACCCGAAGCCGGUGGAGUAACCAUUUAUGGAGC
Molecule: ribosomal RNA, 1406 nt
Filed under: Staphylococcus pseudoxylosus
Lineage: Bacteria; Bacillati; Bacillota; Bacilli; Caryophanales; Staphylococcaceae
Description: bacterial SSU rRNA
Rfam family: Bacterial small subunit ribosomal RNA
Source: RNAcentral